GUAGGUACAGAUGGUACUGCCUCCCUGUCUCUCCCUGUAAAUGAUGUAGGUACAGAUAGUACUGCCUCCCUGUCUCUCCCUGUCUAUGAUGUAGGUACAGAUAGUACUGCCUCCCUGUCUCUCCCUGUCUAUGAUUUAGGUA
Molecule: long non-coding RNA, 142 nt
Organism: Bufo bufo (common toad)
Lineage: Eukaryota; Metazoa; Chordata; Amphibia; Anura; Bufonidae
Exons: 3
Source: RefSeq, a predicted model, not a curated record